Molecule: long non-coding RNA, 656 nt
Organism: Hyla sarda
Lineage: Eukaryota; Metazoa; Chordata; Amphibia; Anura; Hylidae
Exons: 4
Source: RefSeq, a predicted model, not a curated record
AGCAGAAACAUUUUCUCAUUAUACUUUUAACCCAGUUGGGCAGAUUUCUCUGACUACUCCGCAGGAAAAUGUUUCCAUCUCUAGGCAUUACAUUUUUCUCCUCUCGCUCCUUAUGAACCUAACUGGUAAAAAAACGGCAACAAUUACUUCUAGUGUUCACCUUGGAGGCAGUAUGUCCCACAGGAGGUCUCUUAACUGUAGCUUCAAGCGUAUGGAGAAAAACCAAACAAAGCGAAGCAAUGAAAAAUGAUUGGUACAGGCGCUAUAUGAACAUGAAGCUUUUAGAAACUUCCAUGUUGAACCCUGGCGAAUUACAAACUGAGGACCAGCCAUCAUACUGGCAAGAAGGUUUUCAGAUAGAAGACCAAUAGAGGUGAUAACCUAGGAAGUCAGAGAUCUGGAGUCAGUCUGGUCCAGGGAUGUGAAGUGUGUCCAUGUAAUGGGUCAUAAAUCAAGGCGUGGAGUCUUUGUGUCAAUGAAUUUUAAUAGUUAGAAUUAAUAGAUUAUUCACUCCCUGUCAUUACUGAACACCCUUUUAUUAUUAAGACCUUUGAAUCUAUCACACUGUGCCGUGUCCAGUGUUUACUACCGGGUUUGUUUUGUUUUCCUUAUUGUGUUUCUUUGUGGAUUUAUCAUGGAUUGUAGUUUCUGCUUAG